Molecule: ribosomal RNA, 850 nt
Filed under: Flavobacterium sp. D3
Lineage: Bacteria; Pseudomonadati; Bacteroidota; Flavobacteriia; Flavobacteriales; Flavobacteriaceae
Description: bacterial SSU rRNA
Rfam family: Bacterial small subunit ribosomal RNA
Source: RNAcentral
AUCUACCUUUUACAGAGGGAUAGCCCAGAGAAAUUUGGAUUAAUACCUCAUAGUAUUAUAGAAUGGCAUCAUUUUAUAAUUAAAGUCACAACGGUAAAAGAUGAGCAUGCGUCCCAUUAGCUAGUUGGUAAGGUAACGGCUUACCAAGGCUACGAUGGGUAGGGGUCCUGAGAGGGAGAUCCCCCACACUGGUACUGAGACACGGACCAGACUCCUACGGGAGGCAGCAGUGAGGAAUAUUGGACAAUGGGCGCAAGCCUGAUCCAGCCAUGCCGCGUGCAGGAUGACGGUCCUAUGGAUUGUAAACUGCUUUUAUACGAGAAGAAACACUCCUUCGUGAAGGAGCUUGACGGUAUCGUAAGAAUAAGGAUCGGCUAACUCCGUGCCAGCAGCCGCGGUAAUACGGAGGAUCCAAGCGUUAUCCGGAAUCAUUGGGUUUAAAGGGUCCGUAGGCGGUUUAGUAAGUCAGUGGUGAAAGCCCAUCGCUCAACGGUGGAACGGCCAUUGAUACUGCUAGACUUGAAUUAUUAGGAAGUAACUAGAAUAUGUAGUGUAGCGGUGAAAUGCUUAGAGAUUACAUGGAAUACCAAUUGCGAAGGCAGGUUACUACUAAUGGAUUGACGCUGAUGGACGAAAGCGUGGGUAGCGAACAGGAUUAGAUACCCUGGUAGUCCACGCCGUAAACGAUGGAUACUAGCUGUUGGGAGCAAUCUCAGUGGCUAAGCGAAAGUGAUAAGUAUCCCACCUGGGGAGUACGUUCGCAAGAAUGAAACUCAAAGGAAUUGACGGGGGCCCGCACAAGCGGUGGAGCAUGUGGUUUAAUUCGAUGAUACGCGAGGAACCUUACCAA